UGCCUACGGGGGGCAGCAGUCGGGAAUAUUGCACAAUGGAGGAAACUCUGAUGCAGUGACACCGCGUAUAGGAAGAAGGUUUUCGGAUUGUAAACUAUUUUAGACAGGGAAGAAAAAAGACAGUACCUGUAGAAUAAGCUCCGGCUAACUACGUGCCAGCAGCCGCGGUAAUACGUAGGUGGCAAGCGUUGUCCGGAUUUACUGGGUGUAAAGGGCGUGCAGCCGGAGAGACAAGUCAGAUGUGAAAUCCACGGGCUCAACCCGUGAACUGCAUUUGAAACUGUUUCCCUUGAGUGUCGGAGAGG
RNAcentral lists this ribosomal RNA (305 nucleotides) under uncultured bacterium. RNAcentral's name for it is "bacterial SSU rRNA". It matches the Rfam family "Bacterial small subunit ribosomal RNA", at positions 335 to 657 of the family's 1533-position model. The record is from RNAcentral.